This 253-nucleotide ribosomal RNA is filed under the name uncultured bacterium. RNAcentral's name for it is "partial 16S ribosomal RNA". It matches the Rfam family "Bacterial small subunit ribosomal RNA", at positions 524 to 776 of the family's 1533-position model. The record is from RNAcentral.
UACGGGGGGGGCAAGCGUUGUUCGGAAUUACUGGGCGUAAAGGGCUCGUAGGCGGCCAACUAAGUCAGACGUGAAAUCCCUCGGCUUAACCGGGGAACUGCGUCUGAUACUGGAUGGCUAGAGUUUGGGAGAGGGAUGCGGAAUUCCAGGUGUAGCGGUGAAAUGCGUAGAUAUCAGGAGGAACACCGGUGGCGAAGGCGGCUACCUGAACAGAAACUGACGCUGAGGCACGAAAGCUAGGGGAGCAAACAGG